This 252-nucleotide ribosomal RNA is filed under the name uncultured bacterium. RNAcentral describes it as "partial 16S ribosomal RNA". It matches the Rfam family "Bacterial small subunit ribosomal RNA", at positions 57 to 305 of the family's 1533-position model. The record is from RNAcentral.
GCAAGUCGAACGGAAACGAUAGAAGCUUUCUUCUAUGCGUCGAGUGGCGGACGGGUAAGUAACGCGUAGGAAUCUGCCUGAUAGUGGGGGAUAGCCCAGAGAAAUCUGGAUUAAUACCGCAUAGUCUCUACGGAGUAAAGAGGGCCUCUAUUUAUAAGCUUGCGCUAUCAGAUGAGCCUGCGUCAGAUUAGCUAGUUGGUGAGGUAAAUGCUCACCAAGGCAACGAUCUGUAGCUGGUCUGAGAGGAUGAUC